UAGCUCAUGUGUCACAUAAAAAAUCAACAAUUAAUCUACUCAACAGCCACUAUUCCGCUGCAGCCAUAGAAGCCAUGACAUGUAAACCGGCUCAUUAAUACAGUUGAACCGAACCGGUUAGAUUGAAUCCGUGUGAAUCCCUCCAUUUCCCCCCAAGAGCCAUCGAAGCCCCUGAAGCCCCACCGAGCCAUCGAAGCCCUUAACCAAACAGAGCCAUCGACGGAGGUCCCUCCCAAAACCAGAUACGCUUCGAUGUCGAAACCUACCGGCCAGUUUCCCUCCUAACGAAACUCACCGGCCCCCCAACCCCCCACCGAGCCAUCGAAGCCCCCAACCAAACGGAGCCAUCGACGGAGGUAAACCAGAUGCGCUUCGACGUCGAAACCCACCGGCCAAUUUCCCUCCCAAAAGCGAACGCCGUUCGGUGAAUGCAAAGUGGUAUGAAACGGUGAAACCCACAGGCCAGUCUCCCUCCCGAAACCCGUCGCCGUUCAGUGAAACCAAAUGCUCUCAAUGGAUUUUUCCUACCGGCCAAUCUCCCUCCCAAAACCUGUCGCCAUUCGGUGAAACCAGAUGCUCUCAAACGUGGAAACCCACCGGCCAAUGUCCCUCCCGAAACCCCACGCCGUUCGGUGAAACCAUAUGGUCUGAAACUUUGAAACCUAUCCCUGUUUUGGUCCCGAGACCCUACGCCGUUAGUCAAAACCAGAUCCUCCAUUUCAACAACCGAAACCUUCAGCACCUUGAUGCUCUGCUACGUAGCCCCUUCCUAUCACUCCCCGUUGAGAAAGGGAAAUGUAAUGUGUGAAUUUUUUGUAUGGGCGGAUAUACUUUAUCUGCUAGAAGAGAAUUUUCGUGCAAGAAAGAAUAAGGCUUCGAAGAUGUGGGAUGAUGUACUACAUCGCGAGUAUGACAUUCGGAAAAGGGAAGAUAAAGUGAGAAAGAUAGUGAAGAAUCUGAAAAAGGAAAAGCGGAAAUUGUUGUUUUUGUACUGGGUUAUGACAUUUGUAAUAGUGUUUGCUUGGUUUGGAUAAAUUCCAUGUAAACAUACUGUUGUAUAUGGAUUAGAUUAGGUGGUUUUUGAAUGGUUGGCUUGUUAAAACCAUGUUUUGAUGAACAGCAUGUACGUAAUAUGUUGCUAAGAGCAAUUGUUUAGAAUGGUAAAAAAUAUGAUGAACGUUUGUAGGUAUUUUUUCUAAAAUUAUUUUGGAAU
Molecule: RNA transcript, 1213 nt
Organism: Carya illinoinensis
Lineage: Eukaryota; Viridiplantae; Streptophyta; Magnoliopsida; Fagales; Juglandaceae
Exons: 2
Source: RefSeq, a predicted model, not a curated record